This 550-nucleotide ribosomal RNA is filed under the name Fortunia byrrhoides. RNAcentral describes it as "partial 16S ribosomal RNA". The stretch from base 403 to 550 matches the Rfam family "Bacterial large subunit ribosomal RNA", at positions 2473 to 2621 of the family's 2925-position model. The record is from RNAcentral. Lineage: Eukaryota; Metazoa; Arthropoda; Insecta; Hemiptera; Issidae.
UUGCCUGUUUUUCAAAAACAUGUCUUUUUGGUUUUAUUAAAGGUUUGACCUGCUCAAUGAAAUUUUAAAUAGCCGCGGUAUAUUGACUGUGCUAAGGUAGCAUAAUAAUUAGUCUUUUAAUUGGGGUCUGGAAUGAAGGGUUUGACGAAAAAUUAACUUUAUUUAUUUUAUUUUUUUUGAAUUUUAUUUUUUAGUUAAAAAGCUAAAAUUUUUUAGAGGGACGAUAAGACCCUAUAGAUCUUUAAAAUUUAAAUUUAUUUUUAUUUUUGGGUGUUUUUUUGAAGUAUCUUUCUUUUUUUUUGUUGGGGUGAUAAUUAAAAUUUUAAACUUUAAUUUUUUUUUACAUUUAUUUUUGGUUUUUUUGAUCUUUGUUUUUUGAUUAAAAGAAUAAGAUACCUUAGGGAUAACAGCGUUAUAUAGUUGGAGAGUUCAAAUUGAUAAUUAUGUUUGCGACCUCGAUGUUGGAUUAAAAUUUAUUUGUGGGGUAGGUUUUACAAUUUUAGGUCUGUUCGACCUUUAAAAUUUUACAUGAUCUGAGUUCAAACCGGAA